RNAcentral lists this ribosomal RNA (301 nucleotides) under uncultured bacterium. Its description in RNAcentral is "partial 16S ribosomal RNA". It matches the Rfam family "Bacterial small subunit ribosomal RNA", at positions 509 to 807 of the family's 1533-position model. The record is from RNAcentral.
CAGCCGCCGCGGUAAUACAGAGGGUGCAAGCGUUAAUCGGAAUUACUGGGCGUAAAGCGCGCGUAGGUGGUUUGUUAAGUUGGAUGUGAAAGCCCCGGGCUCAACCUGGGAACUGCAUCCAAAACUGGCAAGCUAGAGUACGGUAGAGGGUGGUGGAAUUUCCUGUGUAGCGGUGAAAUGCGUAGAUAUAGGAAGGAACACCAGUGGCGAAGGCGACCACCUGGACUGAUACUGACACUGAGGUGCGAAAGCGUGGGGAGCAAACAGGAUUAGAGACCCGCGUAGUCCCUGUCUCUUAUAC